Non-coding RNA from Delphinapterus leucas (beluga whale), 524 nucleotides. The record is from RefSeq and is a predicted model, not a curated record. NCBI's taxonomy places the organism in Eukaryota, Metazoa, Chordata, Mammalia, Artiodactyla, Monodontidae.
AUUUUGGACCAGCUGCAAACAGGAGAGAUGAGUCAUCAUCUGGAGCUCUUGAGGUCAUGGGAGGAUUCCAGAUACCCUUCUCCAGUACACACUCAAAACAUCCCAAGAGAAGAGGUAAAACCAUCCAGUGCAUAAUGUGCCAACAUCCAACUCCAGAAUCCUUCAGGAAUUUUGAAGACAAAGAAGACAAGGAAGGGAUGAUUACCUGAGCUGAGCUAUAUAAUAUUUAGUACAAAACUAGAAAUAGUGAUUGCUUCAGAGUCACUUAAAGGCAUCUUCCUGAGAAACAUCAUGCUCUUGCCAUUUUGCAAAAUUAUGUCCAAGAAAUGAAAUGAUUCUCAGCAUUCUUGAAUAUGUGAAGGAAUUUCUACUAUUUUAAGGAAACCAAUGCACUUCCCAGACUAGAGACUUGGCUUCCCAGAAUGGACCUUUGAAGAAAGAAGGAAGCCUGAAGAAUAAACAGACUGGUUGCUCAUUCAUCUCUCUUGUCAACAUUUGGAAAAAAGAAAAAGAAGAAAAGACUC